GAGUAAUGCCUAGGAAAUUGCCCUGAUGUGGGGGAUAACCAUUGGAAACGAUGGCUAAUACCGCAUGAUGCCUACGGGCCAAAGAGGGGGACCUUCGGGCCUCUCGCGUCAGGAUAUGCCUAGGUGGGAUUAGCUAGUUGGUGAGGUAAGGGCUCACCAAGGCGACGAUCCCUAGCUGGUCUGAGAGGAUGAUCAGCCACACUGGAACUGAGACACGGUCCAGACUCCUACGGGAGGCAGCAGUGGGGAAUAUUGCACAAUGGGCGCAAGCCUGAUGCAGCCAUGCCGCGUGUGUGAAGAAGGCCUUCGGGUUGUAAAG
This 319-nucleotide ribosomal RNA is filed under the name Vibrio parahaemolyticus. RNAcentral's name for it is "bacterial SSU rRNA". It matches the Rfam family "Bacterial small subunit ribosomal RNA", at positions 108 to 430 of the family's 1533-position model. Lineage: Bacteria; Pseudomonadati; Pseudomonadota; Gammaproteobacteria; Vibrionales; Vibrionaceae. The record is from RNAcentral.